Molecule: long non-coding RNA, 743 nt
Filed under: Capsella grandiflora
Lineage: Eukaryota; Viridiplantae; Streptophyta; Magnoliopsida; Brassicales; Brassicaceae
Description: long non-coding RNA (CGRA_LNC001763)
Source: RNAcentral
UUGUCGUCUUUUCUUCUUUAAUGCCUUGAUGUAAUAACACAUUUGUUCAACACUUUCUUAUUGUCUUAGACUUCAAAACGUACACUUGCUCUGAAACCCUAAAAAGUUGAAUCAAGAUUUGGAUUACAACAAAUCUGUGUAGGUUUUGCUGUGGAAGUAUACCUUACUGCUCUGUAUUUACCAUGUUUCUUGAAGUCUAAUGUUGCAGAAGAUUCAUUUAGCUCAUAUGCAUCCUCAAUCUUGUCUACGUUUGAAUGUCUCUGCUGCUGCACAAGUUUCACGUCCCUCUCACUCGUCUGCUGCUGCAAAAGUUUCAAAGCUUCUCAUGAACGAGUCAAGGCUCAUGAAUAUGGAAGAUACCUUUACUACUCCAACUAUUUCUUCUCAGAUACUUUUCUCAUCACAGGAGAUAAAUGUAUCGUGUAGGUCCACCAUAAAGCAGAUAGAAGAGGAUCUGUACCAAUAGGAGAGGGAAGUCCUACCAUCCUCUGUGACUCUCCUUCUCUGAGCUAUUUCCAAAGAAGAGAAAAGUGUUGCAUGUGAACGACCGUAAAAUCUAACAAACAUAGUAAGAGAGGAUACUAAUGUUCUGUAUUUCCAAUGAUGAUGUAUUAGCAUAAAGCUGUAACUUUUGUCUUUUUCACUUAUCAGAGUGAAGAGUAUUGUUGAGCUUGGAAGAGAGGAACACACCUGUUCUCUGACUCUAAAGUAUGGUCAUCGUCUAUGUGACAGCACAAGCCAAU